Molecule: long non-coding RNA, 2282 nt
Organism: Equus caballus (horse)
Lineage: Eukaryota; Metazoa; Chordata; Mammalia; Perissodactyla; Equidae
Source: Ensembl
AUUUACAAGCUCAAGUUUUAUAGUGUUUCUUUAGUAUAAUAUUAAUAGAUGAGGUCAUUUUGAUGGCAUAAAUUUUAAACUCAAAAACUUGAAUUUAUAACUUCAUUUAUUCAACAAAUAUUGACUGAUUUUCUUUUUGCUAUGAGAUACUGUAUUAAUGUACUGUUUUCCAUCUGGAUUCCAGGGGUUAUGAAUGUCAAUAACAGUUUCAUGUCAGUCACAGCAUCUACAAAAUUAAAGUAAAAUUUUUCAGAACCCCCAAAACACUUAUAUGGGACAUUCCCAAGAACACAAUUUGAAUUGCAGUGUCUUCAUCUAAUCGCAGUAUUUUCCAGUUGAGAAAAUGGAAUCCCUGAAAGAGCUAAUAAUUUGCGCAAAGGAAGAAGCACAAUCCUCCCAGAGGGCAUGUGGAAGUGAGAUAUGUCCUGGGGAUUUACCUUAUGUGUGAUCUGACUGUGAACAGAGCGAAACAUGUUUGGUGGUGAGUGUAGCGGACCAUAUAAGCAAGGACUAGAGAGACCUGUACAUUAUAUGGAAAGGGAGCUCCUCCUGGAAAAACAUGCCUGGUGAGUAGGAAGGCUGCUUGUCUCCUCAAGUCCUUCAGAAUUUUAAAUGUCCAGCUUGAGGAGGAGUUUCAAUGUUUUUUUUUCUCAAUGGCCUCCUAUAUUUUGCCCUUUACUCUGAAUGCCCCAGGAGGUAUUGGUUCUUUAAAGGGGCACAAAGCAGAGCAGUUAAUACUAAACUGGGUUCUCUUUCCACAUUUAUGACGACUGAACCUCCAGAGAUGUGUCAAACCUUGUAUUGUCGUGUUAUAACCUUGUCAGAAAUGCAGUGUGACAGCCUAGAUUGAAUUCUAGUGUCAUAACCUUGUCAGAAUUCUCAUUUCAGAAUCUAACCAGGAUUUUAAUGUUAUAACUGUAUAGGCUUAAGGCCCUCAAGUUAAAAUACAAGAUAAAGAAAUAAGGCAGACACAACCCAAAAUAUUACUUUAUUACUGCUCAGAUCAGAUAGUGGAGAAAAUGCCCAAUAUCUGUAUGCAAGUAGACUUUCUAAUAUUCAACCACGGAAUUAGGCAGCCUGACUUCCCCGGCAUGGCAUCGUGACUUCCUCUGUCCAGGAUCCAGGACGGCUGGAGAGAGGCUGGGAACACCACCCUCUUGUGAGCUCCUUCACGGGAAGGGAAACAUCAGGUAGGGGGACCUGCCCACUAAUAAUUAAACUAGACAAAAUUCUAUCUUAAGGAAUUUGUGUAUUCUAAUAUGACCGUCUAACUUGAAACUCAGUGUCAUAAGUCAACAUGAAUUCAAGUGUUAAACUCCAGCCAGGAUUCUGUAGUUAUAACCCAAGUGAUUCUAGAUUUUUGAGGAUAAAUGCAUUCUGAAAGGAAAACAUGUUCAGAGCUCAGACCAGAUUAGUUUAUAUGAUGAUUAGAGAAUUUUCGGCGAAUAUCAGAGCUCUUAUUGUGUGUGCCAAUUUCGACCCAUGGUUUUAUUGGUCAGAAAUCAGUGAACUUUCAUUUUUUUUGGAGGAGAUUCCUGGUCCAUGUAUAUACUCAUCUUUUCAGCGAUCAGUUAAAAUAUCACUUCCUCAAGUGGGCUUCCUGAAUCACCACCCUCCCUCCUCUCUUCCCCCCACUACUUCCACUGUGUACUCUCAUAACAUGCUUAUUUCCACAUCGCAACAUUUGUUACGUGCAUGUUUUGUACUGAGUUAUUUCACCUCUGUGUUCCCUACAAGACUAGUUCUUUGAGGGCAGUUUCCGUAUUUAUCCUGUUUAACAUUUUUCCAGAGCUGAUGCAUGCAUUGUAUAUGCUCUUGCUCAGCAAAACUGUUUGUUUUUUCUUAUCUCCAGUUGUUAGAAUAGUACUUAGCAGAGUGUCUUACAUUGGGCUCCCUGAAAACAGACUGUGAGAUGGGGAGUUGUAGGCAGAAAGCCCACUGGGAGAGCUCUCUAGAGAUGCAGCUGUCAGGAAGUCAGGAGGCAGGACUGGGCAGAAGAAGUAGCUAUUCCACAAUGGAAUUGCAACUGAGGCCCCUCCACCUAUCUUAAGGGGAUCCCUGGGGCUGGGAUGUCCAUUCAAAGUCAUCACAAAGUAAGGCAAAGGGUGGGGCUUUUGUACCCAAAUGAAAGCCAGCUAUUGGGAGGAGACAUGGCCCUGGACAGGGCAGUUCCCUGCAGUCUGGGGACAAUUUACAGUGAGGUUUGCAGCUGUGGGUGACAGCUCUCGACAUUCCCAGAGGUUGGAGGAUGGGGUCAUGAACCCAAGGAAGGGAUCUUGGUG